This 312-nucleotide ribosomal RNA is filed under the name uncultured prokaryote. Its description in RNAcentral is "bacterial SSU rRNA". It matches the Rfam family "Bacterial small subunit ribosomal RNA", at positions 26 to 352 of the family's 1533-position model. The record is from RNAcentral.
AGGAUUAACGCUGGCGGCGUGCCUGACACAUGCAAGUCGAACGAGGCCGCAAGGCCUAGUGGCGGACGGGUGAGUAAGGCAUCGGAAUCUGCCCUGAUGUGGGGGAUAACGUAGGGAAACUUACGCUAAUACCGCAUACGACCGAGAGGUGAAAGCGGGGGACCGAAAGGCCUCGCGCAGCAGGAUGAGCCGAUGUCCGAUUAGCUGGUUGGUGGGGUAACGGCCCACCAAGGCGACGAUCGGUAGCUGGUCUGAGAGGAUGAUCAGCCACACUGGGACUGAGACGCGGCCCAGACUCCUACGGGAGGCAGC